UUGAUAGAAUUAAUCUUGUUGUUUUAUUUCAGUUUGUUUUGUUUUAAUUCCAGCAGAGUUUAAGAGUAGACGUAACCUUUCAUAUAGAAGUUAUGAUUUAGAGGUUAUUUAGUGGACGUAACUUUUCAUAUAGCAGUUAUGAUUUAGAGGUUAUUUAGAGGACGUAACCUUUCGUAUUUGUAACCUUUCAUAUUUGCUUCUAUAUAUAAUAAGAAAAUCAGAAAAUGAUGCAGUGAGUUAAGCAUCACAAAAGGCCUCUGUUCUUUCAUUAUUUUGUCUCUGUGAUUGUGUGAGUUUCCCAAAUUGUGUGACUGGCCGUAAGAAAGAAUAACCAUCAUUUGGUAUCAGAGCCAAGGUUGUCAAAGCAAUGGCCGGUGUUGAAGGAGAUCAAUCUAAGACGCUUGCAGUCGUCAAACCGACGGCAAGAGGAGCCUCAAUCCCGAUCCAUUAUCCAAUGUUAAGCGAAACGAACUACGGCAUAUGGGCUGUCAAGAUGAAGAUAAUCUUGCGUUCGCUAGGAGUAUGGUCAGUGAUCGAAGGUGCAGACACAGACGACGACAAAGAUCAAGGCGCCAUGGUAGCCAUCUCUCAAGCCGUGCCAGAUGACGUGAUGAUGGCAAUCGCAGAGAAGCAGACGGCAAAGGAGGCUUGGGACGCACUCAGGGAGAUGCGAAUUGGCGAAGAUCGUGUCAAGAAGGCACGUGUACAAGUACUGAAACGACAAUUGUACAAGGUGCAUAUGCAAGAUUCAGAAACCGUAAAUGAGUAUUCGAUGAAGUUGACUGCCUUGGUUGGUGAGAUCCGAUCACUUGGCGCGAAACUUGAAGAAAGCGAAGUUGUUGAAAAGCUGUUCAGUUCGGUUCCAGAUCGAUUUCUUCAAAUCAUUGGGACAAUUGAGCAGUUUGGAGAUGUAGACACGAUGUCGGUUUCAGAAGCUAUUGGGCGUUUGAGAACAUUUGAAGAGGGAUUGAAGGGGCGAUCUCAUACAGAGAGUACAGGAGAGCAGUUGCUAUUCACCCAAGCCGAAAGGGAAGCAAGAACCCCAAAGGCAAAGAAAUAUGAAAGUUUCAGCAACAACAAAAGAGGAGGACGUCACUGGAGAGGACAUGGUAGUGGGCGUGGAUAUGGUGGAGGUCGAGGAAAUGGUGAACGCACUAACGAAGACCGAAAGCCACGAAACUUCGACAAAUCCAAGGUUAAGUGUUUCAAUUGUAAUGAAUUUGGACACUUCGCAAAAGAUUGUUCCAAGCCAAACCGAAGAGAGAGGGCUAAUUUUGUUACAACACAAACCGAUGAUGAACCGGCACUACUGAUGGCCGAAACUUGUGUUAUCAGCCACUCAAUACAGAACGAGCAUGUGUUACUGCACGAAGACAAGGUGGUGCCAAAGAUUAAAGGCACCCGAGAGAAGGCUUGGUAUUUAGAUACCGGCGCAAGUAACCACAUGACCGGAUGUAUUGAAAAAUUUGCUGAAAUUGACACGACUAUUACAGGGUCAGUCAAAUUUGGGGAUGGCUCGACUGUAAAAAUCCAAGGAAGAGGUUCGGUUUUGCUUGAAGACUUCACAGGUGAACAUCAAAUACUUACUAAUGUCUACUACAUCCCAAUGUUGAAGAGCAACAUAAUAAGCCUUGGCCAGUUGGAUGAAAACGGAUGCAAGGUUGUGAUUGAAGGAGGUGUUAUGACUAUUUUGGACAGAUUACAAAGGCUACUAGCAAAAGUGAAGAGGUCAAGCAACCGGUUAUAUGUGCUUAACAUAGCACCAGCUCUACCCGAAUGCUUUCUGGUAAGGAGCAAAGAAGAAGCAUGGCGAUGGCAUGCAAGAUACGGGCAUGUGAAUUUUCAUGCUUUGAAGUCUCUAAGUCAGAAACAGAUGGUGCACGGCUUGCCCAUAAUCGAGCAUGAAGAUCGCAUUUGUGAUGGAUGUUUGAUUGGAAAACAACAACGAAAACCAUUCCCUGCUGAAUCAAAUUUCAGAGCCGAGUACCCUCUUGAGUUGUGGCAUAUAGAUUUGUGCGGGCCAAUCACACCGACUACGAAUGGGGGAAAGCGUUAUUUUAUGCUAAUUGUCGAUGAUUGCACAAGGUUUAUGUGGCAGGUUCUGAUAUCAAACAAAGCCGAGGCGUUCGAAAGUUUUAAAAGGAUCAAAGCUGCAGCCGAAAUGGAGAAGGGGUGUAAGUUGAAAGCUUUUCGAAGUGAUCGUGGUGGUGAAUUCACAUCAAAUGAGUUCAAGGGCUUUUGCGAAUUAAAUGGUAUUAAACACUACCUUAUUGCACCUUAUUCUCCGCAGCAAAAUGGUGUCGUGGAACGGAGAAAUCAGACAGUGGUUGGCAUGGCAAGAAGUUUGCUGAAAAGUAAAAAUGUUCCCGGCGAAUUUUGGGGAGAAGCGGUGUCAACGGCAAUUUACUUGCUGAACAGAGCACCAACUAAGAGUCUAGUUGACAAGACACCCUAUGAAGCCUACUACAAUCGAAAGCCAAGAGUUGAACACUUGCGAAUUUUUGGAUGUAUUGCUCACGUGAAGAAUGUCACACCUCACCUUCCGAAACUAGCAGAUCGAAGUAAACCUAUGAUGUUUAUUGGAUAUGAUUUGAAUACCAAGGGUUAUCGGAUGUUUGAUCCAAAGACAAAACAGGUGGUAGUGACUCGUGAUGCCGUGUUUGAUGAAGAAAAGAAGUGGGACUGGACUGAUUCAUCGGCUACAGAAUCUAAACCAGCAAAGGAUAUCUUUACUGUUCUUUAUUUUCCUGUUGCAGUUUCAAGUGAUGCUGCCCAUCAACGAAUUGAGGAAGAGAUGCUGUAUCCAAAUAUGGCGUCUCCACAGCCAGGGUUCUAUCAAUCUGGCGAGCCUGAGAAUACAUCUGCUGGUAGCAACAGAGCAGAUGGAUUCGGCUCUGGAAAUGCACAAACUCCAGUGUCGUUUCCUGUUGAGCAGAGGGCAUCCGAAUUCAUCCAUCCAGAGGCAUCAGAAGUGGGACCAAGAGGGAAACGAGACCUAAACAGUUUGUACGACAAAACUAUUCCUACUGAAUUGGAUUAUUCGGGGCUAUGUUUGCUAGGAGAGGAGGAGCCUACGAGUUAUGAAGAAGCAAGAACCGAUUCAGCAUGGAGAAAGGCUAUGGAAGAAGAAAUUUCCAGCAUACAGGAGAAUGCAACAUGGAGGUUAGUUGCUUUACCAGAAAAUCAAAAGCCAAUUGGUUUGAAGUGGGUGUUUAAAUUGAAGAAAGAUACUCAAGGGAGAAUAAUCAAACACAAGGCGAGGUUAGUAGCAAAGGGGUAUGUUCAAAAGCACGGGAUAGAUUUUGACGAAGUUUUUGCUCCUGUUGCUCGAUUGGAAACUAUACGGUUGUUGAUAUCAAUCGCUGCACAAAAGGGGUGGCAAGUGCAUCACAUGGAUGUAAAAUCCGCUUUCCUUAACGGUGAAUUGGAGGAGGAUGUGUAUGUUCUGCAGCCACCGGGUUUUGAGAUAAAAGGAGAAGAGUAUAAGGUGCUGAAACUGUAUAAAGCCUUGUACGGUUUGCGACAAGCGCCUAGAGCAUGGAAUUCCAAGUUGGAUAAGUCGUUGAAGGCACUCGGUUUUGAGAGGUGUCUUCUAGAACAUACGGUGUACACGAGAAAGGAAGGAAAUUUAAUUGUUGGAGUAUACGUAGACGAUUUAAUUAUCACUGGAGGAUGUAUUCGAGACAUUGACAAAUUCAAAUCUCAGAUGAAAGGGCUAUUUAGAAUGAGUGAUCUUGGGUUGCUUAGCUAUUAUUUGGGAAUUGAAGUGUGUCAGACUCCAACAAGAAUCACCUUAAAGCAAUCGGGUUUUGCAAAGAAGGUGCUGGAGAAAUGUGGGAUGAAGGACUGUAACUCAACACAGAUUCCUAUGGAGCCUCGCCUGAAAUUGAACAAGGACAGCCUUGAACCUCCUGUAGAUGUAACUUUGUAUCGAAGUAUCGUUGGCAGUUUGAGAUACUUGCUGCACACACGUCCAGACUUGGCGUUUGCUGUUGGAAUGGUAAGUCGAUUUAUGGAGAAACCCACGCUGGAACAUAUGGCAGCAGUAAAGCACAUACUGAGGUACGUGAAGGGAACAUUGAACUUUGGUUUUGUGUAUGAGAAGAAAGAAGGAGAUUUGGAGCUGAUCGGGUUUUCGGACAGUGAUCUGGCUGGUGACAAUAAUGACAGAAAAAGCACUUCAGGAUUGAUAUUCUUUCUUGGGGCAAAUCCGAUCAGCUGGUGUUCACAAAAGCAGAAAGUGGUGGCGCUGUCUUCAUGCGAAGCAGAAUAUAUUGCUGGUUGUGCGGCAGCGUGUCAAGGUGUGUGGCUAAGUCGAUUGUUAGGAGAAUUGCUAAAGGCUGAACCUAAGAAAGUGGUGCUAAAAAUGGAUAAUCAAUCCGCAAUUGCUCUAACCAAGAACUCAGUUCAUCAUGAGAGGAGUAAACAUAUUGACACUCGGUUUCAUUACAUAAGAGAUUGUGUGAAAUCGGGAUUGGUUGAAGUUCAGCAUGUUCGUACCGAGGACCAGCUUGCUGAUAUCUUAACAAAGUCACUGGGAAGGAUAAAGUUUCAGGAGAUGAGAGGAAAGAUUGGUGUACUGGACAUCAAUAAAGAACAACAAGCUUAAGGAGGAGAAUGAUAGAAUUAAUCUUGUUGUUUUAUUUCAGUUUGUUUUGUUUUAAUUCCAGCAGAGUUUAAGAGUAGACGUAACCUUUCAUAUAGAAGUUAUGAUUUAGAGGUUAUUUAGUGGACGUAACUUUUCAUAUAGCAGUUAUGAUUUAGAGGUUAUUUAGAGGACGUAACCUUUCGUAUUUGUAACCUUUCAUAUU
RNAcentral lists this long non-coding RNA (4811 nucleotides) under Populus trichocarpa (black cottonwood). RNAcentral's name for it is "long non-coding RNA (PTRI_LNC000424)". The record is from RNAcentral. Lineage: Eukaryota; Viridiplantae; Streptophyta; Magnoliopsida; Malpighiales; Salicaceae.